UGCGUAGGCGGGCUAAUAAGUCAGUGGUGAAAUCUUCCAGCUCAACCGGGAAACUGCCAUUGAUACUGUUAGCCUUGAGUUAGGUUGAGGUAGGCGGAAUGUGUAAUGUAGCGGUGAAAUGCUUAGAUAUUACACAGAACACCAAUUGCGUAGGCAGCUUACUGGACCUACACUGACGCUGAGGCACGAAAGCGUGGGGAGCGAACAGGAUUAGAUACCCUGGUAGUC
This 228-nucleotide ribosomal RNA is filed under the name uncultured bacterium. RNAcentral describes it as "partial 16S ribosomal RNA". It matches the Rfam family "Bacterial small subunit ribosomal RNA", at positions 568 to 795 of the family's 1533-position model. The record is from RNAcentral.